GAUGAACGCUGGCGGCGUGCCUAACACAUGCAAGUCGAGCGAUUUACUUCGGUAAAGAGCGGCGGACGGGUGAGUAACGCGUGGGUAACCUGCCCUAUACACACGGAUAACAUACCGAAAGGUAUGCUAAUACGGGAUGAUAUGUUUUGAUCGCAUGAUCGAAAUAUCAAAGCUUUUGCGGUAUAGGAUGGACCCGCGUCUGAUUAGCUAGUUGGUAAGGUAAUGGCUUACCAAGGCGACGAUCAGUAGCCGACCUGAGAGGGUGAUCGGCCACAUUGGAACUGAGACACGGUCCAAACUCCUACGGGAGGCAGCAGUGGGGAAUAUUGCACAAUGGGCGAAAGCCUGAUGCAGCAACGCCGCGUGAGCGAUGAAGGCCUUCGGGUCGUAAAGCUCUGUCCUCAAGGAAGAUAAUGACGGUACUUGAGGAGGAAGCCCCGGCUAACUACGUG
RNAcentral lists this ribosomal RNA (452 nucleotides) under uncultured bacterium. RNAcentral's name for it is "bacterial SSU rRNA". It matches the Rfam family "Bacterial small subunit ribosomal RNA", at positions 28 to 507 of the family's 1533-position model. The record is from RNAcentral.